Zingiber officinale is the source of this 1481-nucleotide long non-coding RNA. RefSeq lists it as uncharacterized. Lineage: Eukaryota; Viridiplantae; Streptophyta; Magnoliopsida; Zingiberales; Zingiberaceae. The record is from RefSeq and is a predicted model, not a curated record. The transcript is spliced from 9 exons.
CCUAAGUCAUUUUUCUUUCCCUCUCCUCAUACAAUCUCUUCACGUCAUCCUGUCGACCGCUGGAUCUUCCUCCAUGACGAAGUGAGCACCUCCCAUGGCUCGCAUUCUUCUUCCUAUCGGAAUUGAAUGGUUGCAUCCGACCAAACAAACCACAUCCAUCGCAAGGUCAAGCUUCCAGGUCCCCAAUUCCAGGCCUCCGGGCACCAACCACCCCUUGCCCUUUCCCACCCUCUGCCCAGAGGAAUCUUCCCUUGUCGUCGUGUAAAGGUUGCUCCUUUCUUCGAUCUUGUUGCCCUUCUCUCUGCAAAAGCAUAUUUGAGGGGGUUAUGGCUGGUGGCUUUUGAGUUCUACCGCUACUGAUCCUUUGCUCUCUCUUCCAAGGGAUUCUUGGAGAGGGGCACCAACCCAAUCGCCCCACGGAGAGGAUUUCAGGUGUGGAGGAUUGGUUGUGACCAAGGCAGCAAGCAUAAAGAACAUUCUGAGGGCAUUGAAGGAGAAAAGAGGCGAAAUUUGUUUGGAAUAAUUGCGAAGCUUGUCUGUGGACGAGAUCAAAGUUGAACUAUCCAAGUUCAAGGGAAUAGGACCAAAACGGCAUCGUGAGGUAGGUUCGAUUCAAUGCACUGCUUUGUGCUAAUCCAAAGGCUUAGGGAAAAUCCAAUUGUGUGAGCAAUUAUGGGUGACAAAGUUGCUGGAGUCGCUUUUCAGAACCUUUCAGGUGCAGAAAAUAUCGGAUGAGGCAAUAGGGUGAUCUGCAAUACUUUAGACCAGCUUUUUGUGUAGUAUGCAAAUCAAAUGCCAAAGAUGCUACAGCUCUUUGUGGGAGAGUGAAUAGCUGGAUAUGUAUCAACUUUGCAAAGAAUGUGCAAGAUAAUUUGGCUAGGGGAUUUUGUCACGAGCUUGCUUAGAUGUGCCAGAUAUCAGGAAUGGAAUUUUCUCUAGAUCCUGUGCUUCAUCCUCUAACUGCUCAGCCUGAUCAUGUUGAAAGAGCGCUUUCAACACGCUAUCAUGAUGCAAUGACCAUACUCAAACCUCGGGGAAAGGAGCUUGAUUUGCUCAUUGUAAUAUUGCCUGAUAAUAAUGGUUCUCUUUAUGGAUGAGUAAACAGUACGUUGCCAAUGUUGGUCACUAGAUCAAUGGAAAGGUUGGAGGAAGGGACACAAUUCUUGUCGAUGCAUUGUCAAGGCACAUUCCUCUUGUUAGUGACCGACCAACUAUAAUAUUUGGUGCUGACGUAACAGAUCCUCAUCCUGGGGAAGAUUUUAGCCCUUCUAUCGCAGUUAUUCUAUUGACAAAGUUUCCUAGCGUGCCACCAACGUUCCAAGUACAGGGUGACCUUUUCCCUCAAGGUUGGCUUGGCUUGCCUCCUCGUCUCCCUUCUCAUUCUCAUCCAAGCACCUUAAUCAAGUCUUCGGCACCAACUUCAUAUUGGAAAAGGUUGGUAUGAAAAAAAUAAGCAAGUGAGAAAGAGGACUCCAAUGAAA